This 77-nucleotide transfer RNA is filed under the name Methanothermobacter sp. RNAcentral describes it as "tRNA-Met". It matches the Rfam family "tRNA". From Rfam's summary of the family: Transfer RNA (tRNA) molecules are approximately 80 nucleotides in length. Their secondary structure includes four short double-helical elements and three loops (D, anti-codon, and T loops). Lineage: Archaea; Methanobacteriati; Methanobacteriota; Methanobacteria; Methanobacteriales; Methanobacteriaceae. RNAcentral also lists the same sequence under 4 other names. The record is from RNAcentral.
GGCGGCGUAGCUCAGUUGGUUAGAGCAAACGGUUCAUACCCGUUAGGUCGUCAGUUCGAGUCUGACCGCCGCUACCA